CCCUUAGAUGUCCGGGGCCGCACGCGCGCUACACUGAAGGAAUCAGCGUGGCUUUCUCCCUGACCCGAAAGGGUUGGGAAACCCGUUGAAUCUCCUUCGUGAUAGGGAUUGGGGCUUGAAAUUGUUCCCCAUGAACGAGGAAUUCCCAGUAAGCGCGAGUCAUAAGCUCGCGUUGAUUACGUCCCUGCCCUUUGUACACACCGCCCGUCGCUACUGCCAACUGAGAUGGGUCCUGAAUUGUUAGGAACGCCCGUCAAGGGGCCUACCCGGUCCCUAGUGCGGUGACGAGAAUAACUGUAAAUGGCAUAUCUUGGAGGGAGUAAAAGUCGUAACA
This 334-nucleotide ribosomal RNA is filed under the name uncultured eukaryote. Its description in RNAcentral is "partial 18S ribosomal RNA". It matches the Rfam family "Eukaryotic small subunit ribosomal RNA", at positions 1470 to 1796 of the family's 1831-position model. The record is from RNAcentral.